GGAACUGUGGAGACAUGAGGUGUGCAGGAGUCAUCGCAGACACCGGAGCAGCGGCCUGAGCGGCUGACAGCCCCGCGCCCAGCUGGGCCUGUCCCCGCCACCCUGUGCUCCCGAGGGGCGAGCUGGAGAUGACGGCAGGACCACAGGAGCAAGCUGAGGCCAGACGUGUACACCUGCCUGUGACACUCCACAUACGGUUCAGAAAGCAAGAUACCUUUGGGAGCUGAGGAAGGAUUCUUUCUAAUUAAAUGAUCAGACAGUAAGUGCCAAAACUUGAGAGUCAAGUUCUUUUCUAUGUGAAGGUGUUCGGUUGUUGGGACAGUCACAACUUCUGACACCCAGUUUAUGCUUUAAAGGAACACACCACACACACACACACACACACACACACACCACACACACAGUAGAUUAUCCAGGCGUGGGGCAGUGGUACAUAAAGGACAGUGUGUGAGGACCCAGGUUCAAGCUCUGGCCCUCAGCCUAGCAGGGAGGCUUCCCAAGUGGCCAAGUAGUGCUGCAUGUGUCCCUCUCUCUAUCCAGUAGAUCAUCUGCCUGAGGUCACACUGUCAAAAUGGGCUCCUGUGUUUAACUCCCCUUCCGUCGAGGCAAGUUAAAUAUCAAACUGGAGCCUUGACACGUCAGCACUAAAGCGCUGUGCCCGGCGCCUUAGAGCGUCUCGUCUGGAGCCUGUGGCGUAAGCUUGACUGCUCUCCCUGCCCUUUUCUUUCUGUUGCCAUGAAGGCUUCAAAGUCCAGGGUGACUUUCACAGAGGGGUAAAGGUGACAGCAGACACACUAUCCGGGCGAGCUAGUGGAGGGGGUGUCACAGAAGGUCUUCCCCACCUCUGACGGGCUUCUCCGGACAGACAGAAGGAAAGAAAGCACAGCACUGAAGCCGCCUGUGCACUGGGGGCCUGGGCUGCACACUACCCAAGGGGGCUGUUCGGCCGCCCCUGGCCCCAGUUUAAAAGAGAAAAAGUUACUUAAACAGCUCAGUUUGUUUUGCCACCAAGGUUAUUGCUGGGAGUCUGUGGCUGCGUGACUCCACCAUUCCCAAUGUUUUUCUUGCCCCGUAAUGUUAGGGGGAGACCACAGGACUGCUCCCCACUCUCAAGCUUGCCUCUGACAUGGUGCUCCCACUUCUUGGCUGGGGACUCUACCCCGGGUCCUCACACAUGCCCCCCCGGAGUUUAUCCACAAUUGUACAAAAGCUUUUGAGGUCUACGCUCCUGUCCACUGUCUCCACUGGUGUGAACUCUGGAAGAUAUUUUCACUUUUGUUUUUGCUGACCUUUCUAAUUUUUGACAUACGGUGUUGAUUUCUGUCCACUGCUCGUUACGUGUUCCGCUAGUUUCCGUGACGGUUGAGUCACCUUUAAUUGGACUCGUGGGCCAUUUCCCGCCAUCACACGUCACUACAACGCCUGCUGCCUCAAGUCUGAGGGUCGCUAGGGGCCUGGCCCCAUGCACACGUCAGGGCUCUGCUGUGAGCAGUGUGUGAUGGCUGCCUUAGCUUCCUCGUCUUUUCAAGUAGACUUGUCGGGCUGUAGCGAUUAAAUGAGAAACCGCAGCACGUGUUUACAGCAGCAUCUCAAAGAGUUGUUAGCUUUCAACAAGUAACCGCGGCCACUUUCUCAAACCCAACUCAAGUUCUCCCUCGCAACUUCUCUCUGGUUUGAAAGAUGGCUGUUUCAGAUCGGCAUCUGGACUAGCGUAAAUCCUCCCCUUUUCCCGACUCUGCUGUGCUCUCUGGCCCUGCUCUCCGUGAGCACCAGGGAGGACUUUUUUUUUUAAUAUUUAUUUUAUUUUUUCCCUUUUGUUGCCCUUGUUGUUUUAUUUUUGUAGUUGUUAUUGUUGUUGUUGUUUCAGGGAGGACUUUCUAACCAGAGACUCACACUGCUCUUUCAGAAAAGCCCCCAUGGCUAUUUGAUGGGGGCGUUCAUUGGCACCUCGUGCAAAGGCUUCUCAGCUCCAGAAACUGCGCACUGGGGCAAAUGCUCCGCCUACUGCCGCUUUCCCGUGGGUCUCCAGGGCUACUGAUUGCUGGGCUGCCCAGGGGUGUUGCCUGCACUACGGACCCACAGCUUCUGGGAACCACUUUUUCCUUUUUCCUUUUUAUUUGACAGGACAGAGAGAAACUGAGAGGUGGGCAGAGGAGGGAGAGGGAGAGACAGACAGACAACUGCGGACCUGCUUCACCCAGCCCCCUGGAUUUACUUUUUCAGUCACAAAAGGAAACAUUCUUGACAAAAAUAAUUUUCAGGGCCAGGUGGUAAUGCACCCAGUUGAGCGCACACGUUACAAUGUGCAAGGACCCAGGUUCAAACCCCCAUUCCCGGUGUGUGUGUGUGUGUGGGGGGGUUCACUAGUGGUGAAAACAUGCUGUAGGUUUCUCUCACCCUUUCAGUUUCUCUCUCAAAUGUUUAAAAAAGAA
This is a long non-coding RNA of Erinaceus europaeus (western European hedgehog), 2432 nucleotides long. RefSeq lists it as uncharacterized. The record is from RefSeq and is a predicted model, not a curated record. The transcript has 2 exons. Lineage: Eukaryota; Metazoa; Chordata; Mammalia; Eulipotyphla; Erinaceidae.